Molecule: ribosomal RNA, 253 nt
Filed under: uncultured bacterium
Lineage: Bacteria
Description: partial 16S ribosomal RNA
Rfam family: Bacterial small subunit ribosomal RNA
Source: RNAcentral
UACGUAGGCAGCAAGCGUUGUUCGGAAUUACUGGGCGUAAAGAGUGUGUAGGCGGUGCUCUAAGUUCGGUGUGAAAUCUCCCGGCUUAACUGGGAGGGUGCGCCGGAAACUGGAGUGCUUGAGCGCGGGAGAGGAAAGCGGAAUUCCUGGUGUAGCGGUGAAAUGCGUAGAUAUCGGGAAGAACACCCGUGGCGAAGGCGGCACUCUGGGACGGUACUGACGCUGAGACGCGAAAGCGUGGGGAGCGAACAGG